Molecule: long non-coding RNA, 444 nt
Filed under: Oreochromis niloticus (Nile tilapia)
Lineage: Eukaryota; Metazoa; Chordata; Actinopteri; Cichliformes; Cichlidae
Description: lncRNA (ENSONIG00000022661.2)
Source: RNAcentral
GUCUCCACACUCUAUAGGAAAUGUACCUUUACCUUUGAACAAAGAGAAUAAGUCGUGAGGAUCUGCUGCAGAAGAACUUUCUCUUACUCACUGGCAAACUUUCAUCACAGAUAUUCAACGUUGCUAUUCUUCAUCGGUGUUUGAGCCAUGUCAUGAAAAAUGCCAAGGACCUUUGUAAAAAACACAUUCCAGAGAACUACAGGCUUGGGAUGCAUCUGUUUGGGCUGCUUGCAUGUUGUGCUAACUUAAAAGACAUGGAUGAGGUUGUCCAUAGUGCAGCAGUAGUGUUUUGCAGUCCUUGUAGUGGAAGGAAUAUAACAAAGCAUUACAACAACUUGAAACUCCUUCUGCAAAAAAGGGGGGACCCUAGAUGUAGAUGAAAGACUGUGAUUGCUGAGGACUACAAGGUUAACUUAUAUUUAUUAGUAAAGUAAUAUUAGUAAU